This 323-nucleotide ribosomal RNA is filed under the name uncultured eukaryote. Its description in RNAcentral is "partial 18S ribosomal RNA". It matches the Rfam family "Eukaryotic small subunit ribosomal RNA", at positions 1470 to 1796 of the family's 1831-position model. The record is from RNAcentral.
CCCUUAGAUGUUCUGGGCUGCACGCGCGCUACACUGAAGCGUUCAACGAGUAUUCACCUUGCCCGAGAGGAAUGGGUAACCUUUUGAAAGUGCAUCGUGCUAGGGAUAGACUAUUGCAAUUAUUGGUCUUCAACGAGGAAUUCCUAGUAGACGUAGUUCAUCAGACUGCAUCGAUUACGUCCCUGCCCUUUGUACACACCGCCCGUCGCUCCUACCGAUUGGAUGAUCCGGUGAGCUAUUCGGACCUUCGCUUCGUCGAUUUUCGGCUUUGUGAGGGAAAGUCUCGCGAACCUUAUCAUCUAGAGGAAGGAGAAGUCGUAACA